Molecule: transfer RNA, 52 nt
Filed under: Bothropolys sp. SP-2004
Lineage: Eukaryota; Metazoa; Arthropoda; Chilopoda; Lithobiomorpha; Ethopolyidae
Description: tRNA-Ile
Source: RNAcentral
CGGAGGUGUCUGACAGAAGAGUUAACUUGAUGCGUUAAAAAGACAUAUUGUC